GCGAACACGACAAUGAAGACAAAACAGAGCCAAGUAUGUAGAAGAACAAGGCGACGUGGUAAUUCACAGAAGUCCGGCAGUCGGUAGCGAACUGUUGUGCGAAGAUUGAAUGUUUCUGAGCCUGAGUGUUUGUAUUGUGGGUUAUAUGUUUGGGUAUGUGGGACUGGGUAUGUGGGACUGGCCAAGCACAAAUUUUGGGAGUUUUCACGAGUGCUCUGAAAUAUCAUGGAGCGUCAGAGCGUAGCUUCUUCUCAUAUGCACAUAAUAACUAUUUUCGCAGCACUUGUGACCCAGCGGCAGCUUUGUGCGGCUGCGGUGCAGGCCUCGACGUGGGAAAUGCUAAAACUCCCGACGCGACGAACUAUGCCGCCCGAGCCCGCUGAGCGGCUCAAACGCUUCUUUCAGUGUCUCGACACCGAGCGGCGCUGGUCUGGAGGCCGGGCGAGCAGCCCGGCGCGAGGCAGCUUCUGGAAAUUUGCCGAGCAUUGUUCCCAAACUCGCUCUCCCGAUCGCCUGGCGCCCCGCUGAUGCGAUUGUAUAUCAGUAAAU
RNAcentral lists this long non-coding RNA (549 nucleotides) under Chlamydomonas reinhardtii. RNAcentral's name for it is "long non-coding RNA (CREI_LNC001210)". Lineage: Eukaryota; Viridiplantae; Chlorophyta; Chlorophyceae; Chlamydomonadales; Chlamydomonadaceae. The record is from RNAcentral.